GUAACGCCUCGACUGUCCCUACUA
This 24-nucleotide non-coding RNA is filed under the name Arabidopsis thaliana (thale cress). The record is from RNAcentral. Lineage: Eukaryota; Viridiplantae; Streptophyta; Magnoliopsida; Brassicales; Brassicaceae.